CAGUAGCCGCGGGAAUACGUAGGUGGCAUGCGUUGUCCGGAAUUAUUGGGCGUAAAGGGCUCGCAGGCGGUUUCUUAAGUCUGAUGUGAAAGCCCCCGGCUCAACCGGGGAGGGUCAUUGGAAACUGGGAAACUUGAGUGCAGAAGAGGAGAGUGGAAUUCCACGUGUAGCGGUGAAAUGCGUAGAGAUGUGGAGGAACACCAGUGGCGAAGGCGACUCUCUGGUCUGUAACUGACGCUGAGGAGCGAAAGCGUGGGGAGCGAACAGGAUUAGAGACCCCCGUAGUCCCUGUCUCUUAUAC
RNAcentral lists this ribosomal RNA (301 nucleotides) under uncultured bacterium. RNAcentral's name for it is "partial 16S ribosomal RNA". It matches the Rfam family "Bacterial small subunit ribosomal RNA", at positions 509 to 807 of the family's 1533-position model. The record is from RNAcentral.